CCCAGGACAGAAAACUCCUUUUGAUUUCUCCUCUCUUGAUGUCUUUGCUGUUCUCUCUGUAGGUGACAGCCUCAUGAACUGAUCUCUCCAGCAUCACCACUCAAUGGAUGACAAAUGGGAAUGCAUCCUCACCAGCAGUUGCUGAACUCUGGGACUGCACUAUCACAAACUCUUCACAUAAAAGCCUCAGCUCCAGGGAAGCACCCAGAGACAAAACUGAAGACUCCAAAGAACAGUCUACGAGAAACACCGCAAGAGCUUGCACAAGGUUGGGAAUGAAUCCAGCACUACGUACACAGUGUCCGGCCUUUACAGAGAGCUGCGGUGUUCACUCAGCACCAAUUUUGCAAAGCCCAGACAAGUGUACAGUGUUCCUGUGGAGGAGCGCAUGGAUGGCCUGUGCAUGGAGUUCAGCACUCUCUGUGGUGGAGGUGGCAACUGAAAGAAGAGCGUUUCAGCAGAAGUCAUGACAAGCCAGGGUGCACUCAGCAGGACUUUCCUGUGCAUCUGUAGGGGUUAUUAACCCUCCAUGGGAAAAGGAGACACCAGUAGCUUCGUCUACAGAAGAAGGAAAAGAUGGACUCGGGUAUUUAAUUACCAACUGAGAACUGGCUGUUGGAAGCUGAUGGGUUGGACAGUGUCAGUAGGGCAGAAGAGAGCAACGUAGUCAUUGAAACUCAUGAGACAUUCUGGAGAGCUAUGAGACAAAAGACCUGAAUCACAGGUGGUUGUGAACUGUUUGCGUAGAGGCUGGACUAUCUCACAGCAUCUUUCAGCCUGCCAUGCAGGCUAUAUCUUGCUUGGGAGGGGAGGUUGCGGGGAGGUAGUCUGUUACAGGCUGUAAUAUUGUAGUUCAAAGCAGUAGCUGUUCAUGCGAGUUGGUGCUAACAGCCUCAUGAAAGGUCACAGAUGCCUCUGCCAUACACAAAACUGUCCUCACUUCCUUAUUUGCUCAUGUGCAUUUUACUACAGACUCCUCUGAGCUGUAAGGCCCUACACAGAGCUCUGCUCGGGAAAACCGCUGAGAGCAGCUCUCUGGAGAUGUUUGCUGUGUGU
RNAcentral lists this long non-coding RNA (1056 nucleotides) under Dromaius novaehollandiae (emu). RNAcentral's name for it is "lncRNA (ENSDNVG00000007461.1)". The record is from RNAcentral. Lineage: Eukaryota; Metazoa; Chordata; Aves; Casuariiformes; Dromaiidae.